This 463-nucleotide ribosomal RNA is filed under the name uncultured bacterium. RNAcentral's name for it is "partial 16S ribosomal RNA". It matches the Rfam family "Bacterial small subunit ribosomal RNA", at positions 29 to 507 of the family's 1533-position model. The record is from RNAcentral.
AGUGAACGCUGGCGGCGUGCUUAAUACAUGCAAGUCGAACGAUGAAGUCCUAGCUUGCUAGGAUGGAUUAGUGGCGCACGGGUGAGUAAUAUAUAGUUAAUCUGCCUUGCACUGAGGAACAACAGUUGGAAACGAUUGCUAAUACCUCAUACUCCAACUUUACAUAAGUUAAGUUGGGAAAGUCUUUUCGGUGCAAGAUGAGACUAUAUCGUAUCAGCUAGUAGGUAAGGUAAUGGCUUACCAAGGCUAUGACGCGUAACUGGUCUGAGAGGAUGAUCAGUCACAUUGGAACUGAGACACGGUCCAAACUCCUACGGGAGGCAGCAGUAAGGAAUAUUGUGCAAUGGGGGAAACCCUGACGCAGCAACGCCGCGUGGAGGAUGACACUUUUCGGAGCGUAAACUCCUUUUGUUAGGGAAGAAUAAUGACGGUACCUAACGAAUAAGCACCGGCUAACUCCGUG